AGUGCGAGAGUUGAGGUGCCUUUGCCAUCGGCUUUGGGCCUUGUAGAGUUUCAACUUUGCUUUGGUGGAGAACCUACCUUCUUUAGCGGUAAGUAAAAUUCUUUGUACACCGCUUGUGGUGUAGAAAAUCUGAUGUAAAGCACACUAUUUCAUUCGAUUGAUCUACAUAGCAUCUUUGUGGCUCGAUGUGACUAGACGUUUGAAGGCGAAAAAAAUGGAAGUGGUGCGCUAUUCUAUUGUCGAAUAUAUUUAAUGCACAUCAUAAUCUAUUUUUCAAAUUUAAUAUGAUAAAAAUAUUUUUUUCUUCAAGAUUCGAAUGUUGUUCUUCUCACUCUUCUUUCUCAUUUUGUUGAGCUUUUGCCGGUCCAAGAAAAAAUUUAUGAGCCAUAAUUGUUUGUCCAAGGUGGAA
This 409-nucleotide long non-coding RNA is filed under the name Elaeis guineensis (African oil palm). Its description in RNAcentral is "long non-coding RNA (EGUI_LNC005514)". Lineage: Eukaryota; Viridiplantae; Streptophyta; Magnoliopsida; Arecales; Arecaceae. The record is from RNAcentral.